GAAGAAGAAAAGCCUUCCUGCUGUAAGGGUCUGAUUUGCUUUUGCAGGAGAAAGCACUACUUCUUCCUGCUGCCAUGUGAAGAAAGACCUGUUUGCUUCCCCUUUCAUCAUGAUUGUAAGUUUCCUGAGGCCUCCCCACCCGUGCAGAACUGACUAGGAAGCCAAAAGUGUCACACGGUCAAAAAUGCUUCCAUCUACUGGUGAAACUCAGGAAUACACUAACAUUUCCCUGCCUGAAAUGGUUAGUUGAGGACACAAAGCAACCCAAAGCGAGCGGAGCUUGGCCAUGGAGCUCAGAAAUUCAAAAUAGUCAGUUCUUGCUGAUGGUGAAG
This 332-nucleotide long non-coding RNA is filed under the name Homo sapiens (human). RNAcentral describes it as "HSALNT0218752". The record is from RNAcentral. Lineage: Eukaryota; Metazoa; Chordata; Mammalia; Primates; Hominidae.